Molecule: ribosomal RNA, 250 nt
Filed under: uncultured prokaryote
Description: partial 16S rRNA
Rfam family: Bacterial small subunit ribosomal RNA
Source: RNAcentral
ACGUAGGUCCCGAGCGUUGUCCGGAUUUAUUGGGCGUAAAGCGAGCGCAGGUGGUUUAAUAAGUCUGAUGUAAAAGGCAGUGGCUAAACCAUUGUGUGCAUUGGAAACUGUUAGACUUGAGUGCAGUAGAGGAGAGUGGAAUUCCAUGUGUAGCGGUGAAAUGCGUAGGUAUAUGGAGUAACGCCGGUGGCGAAAGCGGCUCUCUGGACUUUCACUGACGCUGAGGCUCGAGAGCGUGGGUAGCAAAAAG